This 2325-nucleotide long non-coding RNA is filed under the name Rattus norvegicus (Norway rat). RNAcentral's name for it is "long non-coding RNA NONRATT005133". The record is from RNAcentral. Lineage: Eukaryota; Metazoa; Chordata; Mammalia; Rodentia; Muridae.
GUUAUGUACAGAAAGCACACAUGGUCCAGUCUGCCCUGGCCACGUAGGAGGUGUGAGAGGUCACCACAUCCGGGUCACCAUAGUCUCUGGAGAGCUCCCCAACCAGUGACUCCUGGGGAGCCCAACAUAGACCUCAAGAGGGGCAGGGCCAUCUUUAUGGGAUCUGUACUAGGCACACGUGUCAAUCAGUCAGCCUUUGGUUUGUGGUCUCUGGUGCCUAACUUGAUUGCCUUCCCUUUGUCCCCCAGGGUCUGGAUGACUACGGGGCACGGUCUGUGAGCAGGUAAGAGGCUUCAGGCUUCUUUGGGACUGUGGGUGGGUAGCCACAGGUGUGGUUGGGGUAACCUCUCCCUUGGGGCCUGGCUUUUCUUACUCUGAGAACCGGAAGCUUGACCCUAAUCCUGCUACCAGAGUUGGACCCACCUGCCCGAACUGGGCUUCUGCUCUGCUCUUUUCUGAGUAUAGAGUGAGCCCCUUCUCCAUCCUGCUGGGUCUUGGUGUCUUGGCCUGCUCCGUUCGUCCCAGCAGGCAGGGCAGGGUUGGGGAGGGUUGUCAGCCCACCUCGAGGCCUUUGUCCCUAGAUCCAGGUAGGACCUCCCCAAGGGCUGCAGUGGCUGCCCGCUGAGCAGUCUUGUUCUGGGUUCAUCAUCGUCCCAGAGGCCAGGCAGCCUGGCUGCUGGCUGGCCAGGGCUCUGCCGGGUGGCGGGCGGGCCUGCUGCCCCUGGCCGGCAGUGGGCAUGCGUCUGGGCAGCUGUCCUGUGCUUUGUUCCACAGUGGCAGUGGCACGCUGGUGUCCACAGUGUGAGGACGCUGACCCCAGGCAGCUGCUCUGAAGAGCGCCCCCCAGUCUCCAUCGGUUUCCCUCCUCAGCUCUCGUUGGUUUGUUCUUGGGUUGUUUUCUUUCCCACCCGCUCCUGCCUUUUGGUUGGUGAUCCCAGACUCUGAAAUCCCCCAGGGUCCAUGGUGCUGCUCCCUGCGCCCCUGCGCUCACGCCCCCAGCAAGUGUCCCCAGCCUUGAGCAUUAACUGCCAGGUGGGGGCCUGCUGGCUGAGUGGCAAAGCAGCGUCCUCACCUGCUGCCCUAGCCCUGUGGUGUUCACGACACACAUCCCUUUUCUAAGGCUGGCCAUGAGCCAGGGCUAGAGUUUGAAGAAAAAAAAAAUCUUAAAAAAAGAAAAAAAAAAAAAAGAAAAAAGAAAAACAGGAAAAAGGACUAUUUUUUUUCCUAAAAACAAAAAACAGAUAUGCAUGGACUCCGGUGUACGUACUGUUAUUCUGCAUCACCCCCAGAGUGCUGGCGUCUUCUAGAACAGGACAGGACUUAGGGUCCUGGGGGGGAUCAAGCCCAGGGGCCUUGACCUGCCUCAGGCCCCUUCCAAGGGCUGCACCAGGAAAAGAGGCAUAGGCACUUGGGAGCCUCCUGAGGAAGCUGGCCACUCCUGUGAUGGAGGCUACAGCCCCAGCCAGGCCCUGCCCACCCCACAAGCCAGGCACUAGGCUUCUUCCUCGGCAGAUACUGCUGGGCAGGCGUACGUAGAGCAGAGUGCGGCGUCCCGACACAGGGUGGCGUUACCUCAUGCAGUGCCCUGGUGGGAGCUGGUGGCCAGAGCAGGUGCUGCCCGGCCACAUGCGAACAUUCCAAAGACCUCAAGACCAAGCCCGCCCACCCGUCCACACACACACACUUUUGGGGAAUCGUUUCUAUAACCAGCCUUUGAGAGAGUCGUGGCUACCUGUUGCCCCUGGGCUGCAGAGGGUUCGGCCAGCCUGUCAGGGCCGGGGGGAGAAGCAGGCUCCGGCCCAGUCCCUCCUAAGCACUCUCAUCUUUUGUGUGUCUUGGUAACUUUAGAAACAGGCACACUGGACUCAGUGGCUACUGGUUUUGUCUCUUCACACACUGAAUUCUGGGCAGCGGAGCCCAAGGCCCAGUGGGCUCAGCCCUACAGCUGGCAGAAGCCCCUGGGAAGCCGCGGACGCACCUCUGAUGUGGUUAGCAAAACCCAGCAAGCCUGCUGAGGACUAGGGCGUGGCUGGUCCAGUCUGACAGCAGCAGCAGCUCAGACACAGACAGACCCUGUUUUAUAUUUAAGGAAAACACAGCCAGAGCCUGGACCUGUGUAAAGAACUUUGUGUUGUUCUAAUUUUGCUAAAAGAUUUCAAAUCCAGGGGAUUCCAUGUGCAAUGGAUGAAUGUAGACACAAAACAGCAAACUUGUAAGAUGUAAAGUGCUAAAAAUAUUUUUUUCCUUUUUCCUCUCCUUUUUUUUAAUCUGACCUGUGCCUGUACUGCGUCAACUGUUGGAAUAAAGGCUUUAUUUACUGCACUG